ACACGAGCAGCCAGACAGACUUCCACACUGGCCACAGAGCCUUCCUUUCUGGGGGGCCCUGGCGAAUGGGGAAACUGAGGCCCAGAGAGGAAGAGGCGCGGCCCAGGGACAUACUCUGAAGCCCCUCCCUCCUAUUACCUUCGGAGCCCCGCCCACCCCAGGGUCCUCCCUCUCUACCUCCAUUCUUGGUGCCUUCCUACAAUCGAUGCUAACACGCCCCGCCUCUAAGAUCACGGAGGCCCCGCCCCGCCCCGCUAAUGAGGCCCCGCCCCACGGGGGCUAUGCAAAUGAGACGCCCGGAGGCCCCGCCCCUCCCUCCACCGCGGAGUCUGCUCGGCGCGGCCAGGCCCGGCCGACCGCGUCUCGGUCUCCGCGUCUGCCAGCCUGGCUGGCAGUCCGUCUGUCCAUCCCGCCGCGCCGGGGCAGUCUAGGCGGAGCGGGGGCUUAGGCGGCGGCGGCCUCGACACGAAUGAGUGUCGUGGUUGGGGUGCUGGACCCAGAGUGCCUACCCUCGCCUGCCUGGGCCUCAGUUUCCACAUCUGCACAAUGGGGGUGACCAUCCCUGCCCUGCUGGCUGCCAGGAGCGGCUGUGAGUCUUCAGGCGUGGAUGCAGCCUGGGGGAAGCCAUAGGGCGCUUUCACAGGCCUGGCCUUCACCAUGGCGGGAGGGAGACCGCAUCUGAAGAGGAGUUUCUCCAUCAUCCCCUGCUUUGUCUUCGUGGAGGUGAGGACCCCCGUACCUCUCCCAGAGACGGCGUGCCUAUCUCUGUCUCUGUCCAACCUCAGUCUCCUUAUCUGUACCCACUUUUCCAUCUCUGGGAUCUCCCUUGCUGUCCCCUUUCUCUUGAGAAAUGGUUAUGAGCUUAGAUUCAGAAGUGCCACUCCCUGGGGUCCAAUCCCUCUCUGCCCCAUCCACACCGCAGGGUGCUGGACACCACAGGUACCCUCCUGAGCCGCAGUUUCCUCAUUCAUAAAAUGGACAUCACCAGAGUCCCAACUCAUAGGGCUGUUCUCUGUGUGUGUGUGUGUGUGUGUGUGUGUACGUGUGUGUUUGAGAUAGGGUCUCACUGUGUCACCCAGGCUGGAGUGCAGUGGCAUAAUCUCGGCUCACUGCCACCUCCACCUCCUGGGCUCAAGCAAUUCUCCUACCUCAGCGUCCCGAGUAGCUGAGACUACAGGCG
Molecule: long non-coding RNA, 1180 nt
Filed under: Pan troglodytes (chimpanzee)
Lineage: Eukaryota; Metazoa; Chordata; Mammalia; Primates; Hominidae
Description: long non-coding RNA NONPTRT007972
Source: RNAcentral